GGACUACACGGGUUUCUAAUCCCGUUCGCUCCCCUAGCUUUCGCGUCUCAGCGUCAGCAGACGUCCAGGACCUCGCUUUCGCCACGGGCGUUCCUUCCGAUCUCAACGCAUUUCACCGCUCCACCGGAAGUUCCAGGUCCCCCUACGUCCCUCCAGGCGGGCCGUUUCGGUUCCACUUCCCCGGUUGAGCCGGGGGCUUUCAGAAGCCGACGUUCCCACCCGCCUACACGCGCUUUAAGCCCAGUGAUUCCGAAUAACGUUCGCACGGUUCGUCUUACCGCGGCGGCUGGCAC
Molecule: ribosomal RNA, 293 nt
Filed under: uncultured bacterium
Lineage: Bacteria
Also listed under: 2 other names
Description: partial 16S ribosomal RNA
Source: RNAcentral